CACGCUCUUAAUUUCGAACGUUAGAGAUAAAAAAAUUUCCCGAAGAACUCUAGAAUACGCCUAUAAAAACCAAGCCAUUGCAGCCAACAGAGGAGGAGCUGGGCGGCCCCCUUCCAUCUCGCUUAGUCUUCAGUGACUAACUAUUCAAAGCUUAUCUUCUUCCUUGCUCUCUAAAAAUUCAGCUUUAAGUUUUCUCUGUCUUUUGAUCUCUAUUUAGUCCAUAGCCUUGCUAAAGCUUUUAUUUAUUUAUUUGCUGUGUCCGCGUUUGACGAUCUUCCGAAAGAGCUGAGCCAAAGUUGAAGAUCUUCUUGACGCCGCCCUCAAUUUACUGCCCUGCAAAAGGUCCGUAUUUUCUUAUUUUUCGUUUUUCUGGAAUUUAUAGUAUGUUCAUGUUUCAGUAUCUAUUUGGCAAUGAGCUCUUAAUUUUCUGAUAUUUUAUCUUUUGUCUGCAGUGCUUUUGUUGAUUUAUGACAUUAUUCUAUUUAAAGUUGUCAUGUUAUGCACAGUAGUUUUAUUGGAAAUCAUCCAAAUAUGUUCAUUUCUUUAUUUAGAUGAAUGCUGAAAUCAUGCCUUACAAAACUGUUUUUCUAACCAUAUACUGCUCGAAACAUGAAGGAUAACUAAUGUCAUUGUGUUUAUGUGAACUAUUCUAUUGUUCACAAAUCCAAGUAGUAGAAACCAUGUUCAGUACUUAAUUUUCUCUAUAAAAGUUAUGAUAAUUUAUAGUAUAAAGUUAGGGCCCCAUGAUUGAUACUUUGAUAAUUGCAAACUUAGUCUAAAAGCAUUCAGCUAUAACUCCUCCUUUGUUGCAAAUUUGUAGAAAUAAACUGAAAUGGAGGCUCUCAUCCAUUGAAUGAUUUAACAUAGAGUAAUUCUUGUCAGAUAAUGAGUUGUCCGCUAAUUUCUAUCCUUUAUUUUUUUUGCAUGUACACUUUAGACCAAAUAGAGUCUUAUUGCAAGACUCGCUGCCGCCGCCACCACCCGAAGUCCAUUAGCAUUGCGUUGUCUUCAAGUCGCUGCAUUUAAGUUGCAGCCAUAUGAUAAAAUUCAUCUGAACAACUGCUAUAUUUUCUUUAGCAUUCGUUUCAUUGAAUGUAAGAUUAUUUUCUUUAUAUUUUUUAUUCUUAUUGAGAGCUUAUAAAAUUUUGGAGUCGCCGUUAAGUUUUGUACUAAUUUAGGAUCACUAAUCAUUAAUUUAGUACUAUGUUCAUCACGUAAAACAUAGCAACUAGAUACUCCAUUUGGAAUUAAUUUUAAAAUGAUAUUUUCGGUAAGUCUAUACCCAGUUUGUAAAAGAGAAUUGUCCGUUGUACUUCAUAACCGAAGUUAUUUCUUUGAAUCUAAGUGUGAACUAAGAAAUUUUGUCAAAUUGUGUAAUUUUUUUUAUAUUAGUUAAGUCCAUAAAGUCUUUUCAAAAGACAACAUUUUCAAGCACUAUGAUUGUAGGACCGCUAAUCAUUUAACAAAUUUUCAUCAACGUCGUAACUGAGCCUAUUUGGAGGGAAGAAGAACAAAAAGCCUAUUUGUAGUAUCAUUAAUUAAUCUAAGUUCGACCGGCCAACCGUAAUUAGCGAAUCAUAUAGGGUGCUUUGAUAACCUUCCCUAUAGGAUUAAUUAGAAUUCUUACCUAGAAUUUUAAGGUUAAGCAGAUCAUAAAAUAGAGUUAAUUGUAAGCACUACUUAGCUAAAAUUGGUGUCCUAAUUCAUAAUUAAAAUAAUUAGGUGGAGACUCAAUUAAUUAAACUUGUAAAUGUUAUACUCUAGUUUGACCCGGGUUAAAAUGGGGUAUAACACAUAUGGUACUUAGAGCCGGACUUAGGACCUUUUCUUUGUGAGAGAUGAGAGAGUCCAUUUACCUCGAUUUGUGUGCAAAUACUCUAAAAGGUGAGGUUCACUUAGGGAAAGUCGAGGAUUUGUGAGUUUGGAUUGCACAAUGACAAAAAUAUUUGAGAAAGGUUCCUUGAUGAGAUGUGUCAACUCGUGAUGAUCUUAUGUCACACUAGAUCCACAAGUUUUUAAAGUUUUAAGUGUGUUAAUGAUGCAUUCGCGUUGAGGGCAAUUGUUAGCCCCAAUUGAUGCUUGUUGAGGUUACAUUAGGAUCAACAGGAAUUACUUGGGUGUUUUCCAUUGAGGGAUAUGUCUCAUUUUAUUUGCUUGGGGUCAAGCAAAGGUUUAAGUUUGGGGGAGUUGAUAACUGUAAUUUCUACAUGUUUUACACCCAUCCUUACCUAAGCUUUAUACAUUAAUUGCCAUAUAUUAGUCCCAAAAUGCUUACAUAUUGCACUUGAUUGCAGGUUUGAACGACAAGAUGACAAGUAUCAAAGAUCGGCUCAAAAAGGAGUGAAAUCUGCCAAGUGUCAAAAGACAAC
This 2369-nucleotide long non-coding RNA is filed under the name Nicotiana benthamiana. Its description in RNAcentral is "long non-coding RNA (NBEN_LNC006056)". The record is from RNAcentral. Lineage: Eukaryota; Viridiplantae; Streptophyta; Magnoliopsida; Solanales; Solanaceae.